GCCAAUAAAAAGAUGAUUUACUUUGCAUUUUACUUUAGUUGGGUUAAGACGUUUGAGAUGGCAUCAUCAAAGAAGAAAAGUUUGCGUGAUAUCCUGCGAGAAAUAAACUUAGAACACCUCAUCGAUAAUUUUGAACGAGAAAAGACCUAGCAAGCAAGAUUCAUUUACUGUCGGAAGCGGUCCUUCAACAUCGGCAUCGACAGGGUCAACAUCCUACAGUCAGUAUUGCUCAAUAUUAGAUGAAUCAAUUCUUCUAUCUUCCGACGAUUAUGAUGAUGAUAUUUCAGUUGCAAUUAUGCGCAGCCUGAUGGAUGAAAAACCAACGCUGCCCCUGCUGCUGAUUUGUUCAGCUCCUUAAGAGCAUCUUUGCCCGAGGGCAACCAAACAACAUUUUUUAAUAUAUGCAGAACCAGAGUGUGGGAUGGAGCAUUGAGAGGUCUAAGAAGAAAAUCUUUUUCAGCAAGCAAUCCAAUUUCAGUUAAAUUUACAGACUCAAUUGGCCAGAUUGAAGGUGCUAUAGACGUAGGUGGGCCCCGAAGGGAAUUUUUUUCACUUGUCCUGAACCAUAUACAACAUAGUAGCCUUUUUGAAGGGCCACCUACCAGCAGAGUCCUUUCACUUGGUGGUCAAGCCAUGGAGAAUGAUCACUAUUACUAUGCUGGACAGCUAAUGGCGAUGUCACUGGUACAUGGUGGACCUUCACCGACAUUUUUAUCCACAACUUUAUACGA
This is a long non-coding RNA of Anneissia japonica, 731 nucleotides long. RefSeq lists it as uncharacterized. The record is from RefSeq and is a predicted model, not a curated record. Lineage: Eukaryota; Metazoa; Echinodermata; Crinoidea; Comatulida; Comatulidae. The transcript is spliced from 5 exons.